UAGAAGUAUACUUACCUACAUUAUAUUUCUAUUUUAGGUUUCGGACAGUAAUUAUCACAAAGUUUUCGCCAUGUUAACAUUGAGCAUACACUUUUAUAUAGUAUAAAGACCAUUUUCUCCAAUGAACGAACCUGGCUAAGUUUUUUUUAGUUUUAAGCUGAUGUGAACUAAAAUUUAGAGUGUUACAGCACACUACGAGUAUUUCGAAAUUUUUUCGAGUGUAGGUGCGUCCAGACAUUUGGCAUAAUUUUGCCGUUUAAUAGAGUGGUUGUUUCUGUUUCUUUGUGUGAAAAAGUGGUAAUAGAAAUGAUUUGAAUUUCUGGCCUGAUUGGGGGUAGAAGCGUCAGUUUGACGUGAAAAUGGCCUAGAUGGCGACAGCUUGCGAGUGUUCGAAAUGGUGAUUUAAUUGAAAAAAUCUCAUUCAUAUGCAGCCGAAGUAAAAAAUGCAGCAUCGCUCGAUUUUUACCGUUUUAUUUGCGGCCGCUUCGUUGAAUGCCAAUCAUUGAUAUUUCCUCAAGCCUGUGUAAGCUUCCAUUUUUCGAAACACAAAGCACGUUAUGAAACAUGCAUGAUUCAAAUGUUAAAAAUGUAUAUUUGGCAUACAAAAGCAUGUUCCAUUUAUAAUCCCGGUUUUAAAUCGUGGUAACGUCAUCGAACAAAGUGAACAACAAUGAAACGUCUCGUGGAAUAUCUCAGUCACUCACUCCGUGUUUGUCACAUAACAUGCAAAGACGUGCUUUUAUCAUCUUUAUAAAGACGAUUUUUCUUGGGUUUUUGUUAGGCGACCCUGUUUCCACUCCGAACGGAGUUCCGGACGGGGAAAAGACGACAACAGCUCCGUCCUUAUCGCGCAAGGGAGGAACGCCGAACGAGAGAGGAAAACGUCCUUCCUCUUGGACGCCGUGCUGCGGACCCGCAUCAAAACAUCCUAGCUGAGCCGCAAGCGAUUUGAAAAAUGAUCCAUCUCACGUCACAAGAACUGGAGUUUUUAUACUUCUGCCUGGAAGCGGUGUUGCCUCCCAGACAACGCUACACGCCAACAAGAUUCUAAUCCCGGCGGACGACGUUUCAGCAACAUUACAUUCCUGCAUUCCUGCAGGAAAAAUACUCAAUUAAAGCGUUUCUCAGAGAUGCCCAAAAUUUGCCGUGUAAUUACAGGUUCUGAAAUGCGAAUUUGGGCGAAGUUGGUUGAAUCCGGUGACCGGCGCAUUUGAUAUAUUGCCCGUCUGUAACAAUUUGCCACCCGCUGGGAGUCGGCGUCCAUCAAAGCCGUGAAAAAGACGGACCGAUUCCAAGGGGACCGCUCAAUCUUCCUGAUACGCCCAUUCCUAUGGACCCUCUAGACACUCCAACGCCUACAGUUAAAAAGGUCAUUUCUAGCUGGCUAAGAGGGCCCACUGAGACCGCCAGCGCACGCUGCCCCCAGCCGCCAAACAACUUCAAAACAAACCCAACUGUUCUCCCAACUCUCUAAAUAAAUCCACAAAAAAUUAAA
Tribolium castaneum (red flour beetle) is the source of this 1495-nucleotide long non-coding RNA. RefSeq lists it as uncharacterized. NCBI's taxonomy places the organism in Eukaryota, Metazoa, Arthropoda, Insecta, Coleoptera, Tenebrionidae. The transcript is spliced from 2 exons. The record is from RefSeq and is a predicted model, not a curated record.